RNAcentral lists this ribosomal RNA (713 nucleotides) under Salmonella enterica subsp. enterica serovar Kentucky. RNAcentral's name for it is "partial 23S ribosomal RNA". It matches the Rfam family "Bacterial large subunit ribosomal RNA", at positions 2218 to 2925 of the family's 2925-position model. The record is from RNAcentral. Lineage: Bacteria; Pseudomonadati; Pseudomonadota; Gammaproteobacteria; Enterobacterales; Enterobacteriaceae.
UGUUCUAACGUGGACCCGUAAUCCGGGUUGCGGACAGUGUCUGGUGGGUAGUUUGACUGGGGCGGUCUCCUCCUAAAGAGUAACGGAGGAGCACGAAGGUUGGCUAAUCCUGGUCGGACAUCAGGAGGUUAGUGCAAUGGCAUAAGCCAGCUUGACUGCGAGCGUGACGGCGCGAGCAGGUGCGAAAGCAGGUCAUAGUGAUCCGGUGGUUCUGAAUGGAAGGGCCAUCGCUCAACGGAUAAAAGGUACUCCGGGGAUAACAGGCUGAUACCGCCCAAGAGUUCAUAUCGACGGCGGUGUUUGGCACCUCGAUGUCGGCUCAUCACAUCCUGGGGCUGAAGUAGGUCCCAAGGGUAUGGCUGUUCGCCAUUUAAAGUGGUACGCGAGCUGGGUUUAGAACGUCGUGAGACAGUUCGGUCCCUAUCUGCCGUGGGCGCUGGAGAACUGAGGGGGGCUGCUCCUAGUACGAGAGGACCGGAGUGGACGCAUCACUGGUGUUCGGGUUGUCAUGCCAAUGGCACUGCCCGGUAGCUAAAUGCGGAAGAGAUAAGUGCUGAAAGCAUCUAAGCACGAAACUUGCCCCGAGAUGAGUUCUCCCUGAGACUUUAGGUCUCCUGAAGGAACGUUGAAGACGACGACGUUGAUAGGCCGGGUGUGUAAGCGCAGCGAUGCGUUGAGCUAACCGGUACUAAUGAACCGUGAGGCUUAACCUU